AGGAUGAUGAUGGAGAGAAAAUGUCGGAUUCUGAAUGAAAUUCAAACAUGAAAUCUCAUGUUUUUAAAGACUACUCUAACACUAUUGAACUUAAGUUCAUUGUUAACACUAAUCUUUUUAUAUAAAGCAAAUUUAUAGAUUAAAAGCAUAAUUAAUUAAUUGAAAACCUUUCUAAUAGUAUUAUAAUAUUUAAACCUUCCUCUCACUCUUUAUUUCUCUCCCUCACACAUAAAUUUAUGGCAUGAGAUAAGUGAGUAAUCAAUGACAAGAAUAUUAUGUUAUUAAAAUCAAAUCACUAAACAAAAUCCCUAACCUAAAUAACUAAAUUAGGAUGAAUUAAGGAUAUAAUUACAUAUAAGGCCAUAAUUAAUUAAUUGGAAACCUCUAUAAUAUUACAAGAAUAGGAAAUGGCAAGAGCAAGGAUCACUAAUAAUGUCAAUUGGGUUGAUAAGUCUGAGAAAGGAGAUGGAUAGGUGAUUUACAAUGCAAGAGUAAAAGAACAAGAGAGAGAGGUAAAUUAUUAUUAAGAGAUUCAAAGAGUUGGAGCUCUCUCAGCAGAACCAGAAAGGACAGUAAGCAAAUUGUUGGCAAAAGGAUCACUGAGGUGCUUGGCAAGGUUUUCCACAGGUCCU
This 632-nucleotide unclassified non-coding RNA is filed under the name Hevea brasiliensis (rubber tree). The record is from RNAcentral. Lineage: Eukaryota; Viridiplantae; Streptophyta; Magnoliopsida; Malpighiales; Euphorbiaceae.